GGGGUUGUGGCUCAAGUGGAAAGGUGCUCGCCUGGCAUGCGGGGGCGCUGAGUUCAAUCCUCAGCACCACA
Molecule: transfer RNA, 71 nt
Filed under: Marmota monax (woodchuck)
Lineage: Eukaryota; Metazoa; Chordata; Mammalia; Rodentia; Sciuridae
Description: tRNA.Ala
Source: RNAcentral